UUAAUUGCUAUAACGAACGAGACCUUAACCUGCUAAAUAGCCAGGCUAGCUUUGGCUGGUCGCCGGCUUCUUAGAGGGACUAUCGGCUCAAGCCGAUGGAAGUUUGAGGCAAUAACAGGUCUGUGAUGCCCUUAGAUGUUCUGGGCCGCACGCGCGCUACACUGACAGAGCCAACGAGUACUUCCUUGACCGAAAGGUCUGGGUAAUCUUGUUAAACUCUGUCGUGCUGGGGAUAGGGCAUUGCAAUC
This 248-nucleotide ribosomal RNA is filed under the name uncultured fungus. RNAcentral's name for it is "partial small subunit ribosomal RNA". It matches the Rfam family "Eukaryotic small subunit ribosomal RNA", at positions 1319 to 1591 of the family's 1831-position model. Lineage: Eukaryota; Fungi. The record is from RNAcentral.